This 314-nucleotide ribosomal RNA is filed under the name uncultured bacterium. RNAcentral's name for it is "bacterial SSU rRNA". It matches the Rfam family "Bacterial small subunit ribosomal RNA", at positions 28 to 334 of the family's 1533-position model. The record is from RNAcentral.
GAUGAACGCUAGCGGCAGGCUUAAUACAUGCAAGUCGUGGGGCAGCAUGAGUAGCAAUACUUGAUGGCGACCGGCAAACGGGUGAGGAACACGUACACAACCUUCCUUCAAGCGGGAAUAGCCCAGAGAAAUUUGGAUUAAAUACCCCCAUAAAUAUAUUUGAUAAGGCAUCUUAUUAAAUAUUAAAGCUUCGGCACUUGAUGAUGGGUGUGCGGCUGAUUAGAUAGUUGGCGGGGUAACGGCCCACCAAGUCUACGAUCAGUAGCUGAUGUGAGAGCAUGAUCAGCCACACGGGCACUGAGACACGGGGCCCA